GAUGAACGCUGGCGGCGUGCCUAACACAUGCAGGUCGAGCGAACCGCCUAAAUUAGUUUUCUUCGGAAUGUCGCUUUUUGUGACUGAGUGACGGACGGGUGAGUAACGUGUAGGUAACCUACCUCAUACAGGGGGCUGACCUAAAGCAAUGACUGCUAAUACCGCAUAAGACCCCAUCUUCACAUGCAGCGGUGCUGAAAACUCCGGUGGUAUGAGAUGGACCCGCGUUUGAUUAGCUAGUUGGUAAGGUAACGGCUUACCAAGGCGACGAGGAGUAGCCGAGCUGAGAGGGUGAGCGGAGACAUUGGGAGUGAGACACGGCAGAGACUCCUACGGGAGGCAGCAGUGGGGAAUAUUGCAACAUGGGGGAAGCCAUGAUGCAGCGAGGACGGGUGAAGGAUGUAGUAUGUCGGUAUGUAAUCUUCUAUCAGCAGGGAAGAAAGUGACGGUACCUGACCAAGAAGCCCCGGCUAACUACGUG
Molecule: ribosomal RNA, 481 nt
Filed under: uncultured bacterium
Lineage: Bacteria
Description: partial 16S ribosomal RNA
Rfam family: Bacterial small subunit ribosomal RNA
Source: RNAcentral